CCGCAUGGGAAUUACGUCAAAGGUAUAAACUGGUAUGGGAUGGGGAUGCGUCCGAUUAGCUAGACGGCGGGUAACGGCCCACCGUGGCGAUGAUCGGUAGGGGUUCUGAGAGGAAGGUCCCCCACAUUGGAACUGAGACACGGUCCAAACUCCUACGGGAGGCAGCAGUGAGGAAUAUUGGUCAAUGGCCGUAAGGCUGAACCAGCCAAGUAGCGUGAGGGAUGACCGCCCUAUGGGUCGUAAACCUCUUUUGCACGGGAAUAACCCGCACUACGUGUAGUGCGUUGCAUGUACCGUGCGAAUAAGCAUCGGCUAACUCCGUGCC
Molecule: ribosomal RNA, 325 nt
Filed under: uncultured bacterium
Lineage: Bacteria
Description: bacterial SSU rRNA
Rfam family: Bacterial small subunit ribosomal RNA
Source: RNAcentral